UCUGGAAAUGUGUUCAAUUUAGGGUCUGUAGUGAUCUUCUGGAGUUCAAAGAAGCAGGAUGUGGUUGCAUUAUCAUCAUCGAAAGCAGAAUAUGUUGCUGUAACUUCAGCAGCCUGUCAAGCCGUAUGGUUACGAAAAAUGUUAGUUGAUGUUUCUAUCAGCAAGAGGGUGAGAUAGAAAUAUUCCGCGAUAUCAAAGCAACAAUUGAAAUGACAAAGGACCCGACUUUUCACAACAAAACAAAGCACAUAGACAUCUGUAAUCAUUUCAUUCAUGACCACACAAUAAGAGGUGAUAUAGAGUUAAAGAUUUGCGAUACAAGGGAUCAAACUGCAGAUGUUUUCACCAAGGCACUCUCACAAGUCAAGCAUGAUCAGUUUCGGCAGAAACAUGUAGUUUGUAAUUUUGAAUCAAGAAGGGUGUUAAAUAUUGAUUCAACACCACAUGCAAGCACAAAAUAUUCGGUAACACAUUUACUUUAUAAACCAUGUGAAAAUCAUGCAAGUUAUAAUACAUAAAUUGUGGUAAGUUUCCUAGUCACAGUAUUCGUGUUGAAAUACCAAACUUAUCACUUCAAUUAAUUUGUACAACUUUCAUUCUAUCACCUAUAUUCAUGUCAUAUAAAUCUUGUGUUAAAUCUCCUUGAUAGAGCAUUUCAUAACUAAUUUACAACACCCAAUCCCCAAGGUUACAUUUCACCCUCAUUCGUCAACUCAUAUUUAUUAACUAGUCUGUAUGUCAUUCAAUUUCCACCAACAAAGAGGCAUAAUUUCAUUUCUGUUUGAAACUUUAUAUAACUAAUUCACUAUUAAAGAAUCACAAUAUAACUCACUAGUGAAACUAAGAGUAUCUUAGGGUUAGAUUAAUAAUCUUCCUUUGUUCAUGGGUAUUCUCAUAUUGAAAUCAGUUCAAGUUCAUAUUCGAAUUAUCAAUGUCACGUUAACCCAAUCCCUGGUAAUACAUAAUAGGCAUGUCAAUGAACUGAAAUAAAAUACUUUGAAAUCCAUAUUUAUAAGUGCACAUGUUCAGUUCUUUAUUUUUCUUUCGUGUGAUGACUAUCUUCGUGCUCCUUCAUACUUAUAACUGCAAAGGUUUAGCAGACAUGAAACCCUUUUUGUUAAAAAUAUAUUUGCACGUGAGAUGGGGCUAAAGCCCAUUCCCCUUCCUUUUGUUUUUAACUAAAACUAAUGACUAAAUUGCUCUAAUUUAAUAAUAGGGUUUAAUUAUAGGGUAUUACAUGUAGAGUUGUUGUUUUGAAAUUGUGUUUGAGUGCCAAUACCAAUACCAAUGAUUUGGUACUUUUAAAUGUGAAAAAGGAUCAUGGGCGACUUUUUUGCAAGUUAACCAUUUUGUUUAAACCUAUGUUAGUGUGACUACCUUGUGAGUUGUGUGAUUCAUUUUUCCCAACUUGUGUCUGCACCUUUUUGUUGGUAAAGAAAAUAAACCUUCAAUCCCAACCACUUUCAAUUGUUAUACCUCUUUUUUUACCCAAAAUAUUCUUAAAGCAUUGAGGUGUAACUGUAUUCCAACUUAGGCCAAAGUGAAUGUGUAGAUGAAGUUCGCAUGGUUAAUAUAUGUCGUGUCAAUGGAAUAUGAUAAAAAAAACUGUGGCAAAAGCCAUCUACAACCAAAUAUUUCAACACUUCUGAAUCCUUGCUUCCUUUCAAAAGUUAGAUUAGAAACGAAAGCAUUUGGUCUUGUCAAGAUACAACACAAAAUACUAAAUCAAAUCCUCAACACUAAGCGUCAAAGUUGGAAAUGUUUCUGAAUGCAUUAAUCUAAUCAAAGCAAGACUUGAAUGAAAGAAGGUUUAAUUAUUUUGGAUGAUGUGGAUCAUAUGAGACAAUUAGAAUCCUUAACAAGAGAUAGAAGCUAGUUUGGUUUUGAUAGUUUAAUAGUUAUUACAACCCAAGAUGAAUAUUUGAUAUUCCGGCAUAGAGGAAAUGAGAGAUAAAGGACCAAACUUUUAAAUCACGAUCAACAACAUUUCUUGUCAUACUAAAACAGUCUUUCUCCACCACAAGAAUAUGUUGAGCUUGUAUAAAAUAAAAUCAAAUAUUCAGGUGGGCUGUCAUGAUCUAUUAUGAGGUCACAUUUGCAAGGGAGAUCCAUAGAAGAAUGGAGAUACGAAUUCAGAUAAACUAAGAGAAGUUCCUCAUUGUGAUAUUCAAAAGAUUCUCAAGAUAAGCUUUAAUGGACUUGAUUGUGAUGCUCAGAGUAUUUUUCUUGAAAUCGUUUGCGCCUUCCAUGGAUUUUUUGAGGAUGAAGUUACCAAAACAUUAAUUUUGUGUGGUUUUUAUUCCGAAAGUGCAAUUUCAAUCUUAGCCUAAAGGAACUUGCUCAAAAGCGAUUGUCGUUAUUUGGUGAUGCAUGAUCUUGUUCGGGCAGUCGAGGGGCCACAAUAUUCUUAAGGGGGUUCGACGUAUAAAGUAAUAAACACAUGAGAUGGGAAAGAAAAAUAUUAAUCUUUACUCGCUAAAUUUAACUUGUGUUGUGAUACUGCAUUUAGGUUCUUCGUACUUUUUACCCUGCUCCAUCGAGUUUCUUUUUCAAAGUCUUGUACCUUUUUUUUCUUUAAAUUUACCUGUGUUUUGUUUUACUUUGUUAUUUUAUUAAGAAAAUACUAAUUAGUUUCCUCUCAAUCAUAUGUUACUAUAAAAAUCACCAAGAUCUUAUAAAAGGAAUUAAAAUUGACAUAUUCAAGAAAUAAAUAAAUGACAUCAACAUUUUUCUAGUUCAUUUAAAUCAUUUACUAGGUUAGUCAUUUGUAAGAAAAAACAAAUAAUCAAUAAAUUAAAUAAGAUUAGUUUAAAUUUCAUCUCCUUAGAAUAAAAUUGAAAAAGUACAAUGAAAUUAAAGAAAGAAAAUUUAAUUAAAUAGAUUUUGUUAAAAAAUUAACAAAAAUUAUAUAUUUCUUCAUUCGGUUAAAUUUAAUUUACUUUAUUUUAUAUAAAUAGUUUUUAAACUAAAUUUAAAAUUUAAGUAAAAUUCAUCAUCUCUUCAACUUUGUACAUAGAAAGAGCACUAUGUGAAAAACUAUAAAAUCAUAUAUAUAUAUAUAUAUAUAUAUUAUAUAUAUAUGUAUGUAUGUAUGUAUGUAUGUAUGUAUGUAUGUAUGUAUCAUCAUCAUAUCAUAUAUUUAUUUGAAAGAGAACCUUAGGCCCGCUUAUUUGGCGCCACUACAAACCAGGAUUCACUUUUUCCUUAAUUAUUCUCAAAAUUAGUCUUUCCUUACAUGAAAAGUUGUGAGUUUUAUGAAAUGUUGUGACUUUUUAUGAAAAUUUCCGACUUAUACGAAGAGUUACAAAUUUUAUGAAGAGUUGUGACUUUUAUGAAGAGUUGCAAUUUUUACGACGAGUUACGACUUAUAUGAAGGGUUGCAACUUUACUGAAAAAUUCUUACUUUUAUGAAAGAUUGUGACUUGUCCAUAGAGUUGUGACCUUUCCGAUAACACACAAUAAACAUUCGAAGCUACCCUUUGUAGUCUAUAAAUAGAGGGAUUUCCUCUAAUUUUAAAAUAACGAAAAUACAUGUCCUUUGCUCAUGUUGAGUGGCUCACUGACACCAUUGUUUUUCAAUCAACACACUAGUUAAUAGAAUUAUUCUGUCCUGACGUGAGAAGAUACAUUCCUUUAAACUUCGGGUACUAGAAUGAAAAAAAAUCCUUAACGGGACAAUGUCCAAUAAGUGGGCUCGGUUUUUUCCUUUAUGUUUCAUUUAUUAUUACAGAUCCUGUUAUGCUUUUACAAUAAUAAAUUUAUGCUUAAAUUAUUACUUUUUAUUUUUGAGUACAUGUUUUAAAUAUUUUUGUUUAUGUUUAUUCUUUUGAUCAUUGUUUUGAAGUAAAAAUAUUUUAAUCAAGAGUUUGAUGUAAUUAUUAGACUAUUAGUGUCAUUUAUAUGAAAAUUCUUAAAGUACAAAAAAUAAUGAGUUUGAUUUUUAUAGAUUUUUAGUGGUUAAAAGAUCCAUGGGAUGUCUAUGAAGGGACUUUGAGUGUUCAAAAGAUAUGGUUGUUCCACACUACCUUCGUGUUUUAUUUAUUCAAUUUUCUAUCUUAUCGAGUCAUUUAAUCGAUCAUUAUGAUCCAAAAAAUAAAGGAAUGUAGUGGGACGGUAAGUAUUGUGCUCCGCAUUAAUCAAACGUUUGGGGUUUAAAUGUUGGGUUGGAGUCAAUGAAUUACCCCUCAAAGUAGAAUAAAUCUAUAUUAAUCAAAUGUAAAAGAAACAAUUAUUUUCUUAUAAAUUGCAGAUUGAAAUUCCUCCACAUAAGUAAGUUUUAACUAUAUUAAUCGAGACAUAAACAACAAAAUAUUCCUUUUGGCUAUCAAAGUAGCGUCAUCGAGUGCAUAUGAUUUAGAAUAUGGGGCAUGAAAAGACAUCAUCUAAUAUAAAUUAUUUGAACGACAUACGUUAUUUAAUUCAACUUUAAGGGAUGCAUUUUUCUAUUUUAAUUAACUUAUCAAGUACACAAAUAAUUAUAUAAGAUGUAUAAUAUUUAAAUUGUUGGGAAAGACAAGGCACUAACAAAGAAUGCCUGACAGGAUAACAGCGGAAGAAUACUCAAGUCUACACUUUGCCUUCUCAAUUUGAACCAAGAUAAGACAAACAACCACGAGCAAUAUGAUAGUAAGGCAGCAAGUAAUUCAACCAAACAAAUAUAACAAGGCAAUAAUAAACCAAUCACACAAGACACCAAGAUUUACGUGGAAAACCCUUCGAUGUGAAGAGUAAAAAACCAUGGGACCAAAAUCUCCACUAUAAUCACCAAGAGUUACAAUAUUGUUCUCCAAAAUUGGCCACAAAACAAGUGUCAAACAACGAGCAACAACAAAAUAAGAUUGCACCAAAUCUAGAGAAUUAAAGAAGCAAAAUCACCAAUUUCGCAGCUACUGUUCACGACAGCAAAACUGAAGCUGCAGGCCACCAAAUCUAACUCUGUCACUUCCUAAUCAAAUACUAAGAUGAAUAUAAUAUGUUGUCCAAAAAUCAGCUCAAUCGGACAAGAAACGAAGCGGGAAUCACAAUUUGAAGUUGGCUGUUAGGGCUGAAUUUUGACUGCGAAAACUGCUUUCUUUCUCUCUUCUUGGCUGUUGAAAAAACUCUCUGUGUAAAUGAAAAUAAGAUCUAAAUAGGCUUAUAUUUGCCUCAUAAGAAUGGGCCUAUGGGCAAAAAUGGGUUGGUCCAAAUUGGGCUUUUAUUUAUCCACAUAAGAAGGGGAAAAGGCCCAUACCCAACAAUUCUCCCCCUCACGACUAUGUGGAGGAGACCGCCAUCCCGGCGACCAUGCAACAAUCUUCAAACUUCCCUCUUAGCUAAGCUUUAGUCAUCAUAUCAGAACCAUUGUCAUUUUGUAUGAAUCUUUUCAAGCUCAAGCAACUUAGAAUCCAACACAUCUCGAAUCUAAUGGUAUCUCACAUCAAUGUGUUUAGACCGACCAUGGAACGUAGAUUUCUUGCCAAGAUGUAUAGCACUUUGACUGUCACAAUAAAGCACAUACCUCUCUUGAGAACAACCAAGUUCCCCAAGAAUAUCUUCAUCCAAAGCAAUUCUUUUCAAGCUUCAACGACAGCAAUAAGCUCAGCUUCUGUAGUAGAUAGAGCAACAUAUUUUUGCAACCUAGAUUGCCAAGACACAGCUCCCCCUACAAAAGUAACCAAGUACCCCGAAGUAGACUUGCGAGUAUCAACAUCACCAGCCAUGUCUGAAUCAGUAUAACCACAAAGAAUAGGCUUCCCUGUACCAAAUAACAAACUCAGACUAGAAGCUCCAUAGAGAUAUCUCAUAACCCACUUCACAGCAUUCCAAUGUUCUCUUCCCGGAUUAGAAAGAAAACGUCUAACAACUCCAACAGCGUGAGCAAUAUCUGGUCAUGUACAAACCAUCGCAUACAUCAAACUACCAACAGCUGAAGCAUAAGGAACUUUCUUCAUAUCUUCCUUCUCAUCAUCACUAGAAGGACACUGUUUCGUGCUCAAUUUGAAGUGCAUAGCUAAAGGUGUACUGACAACCUUAGCUUUGUCCAUGCUGAAUCUGCGAAGUACUUUCUGAAUGUACUUCUCUUGUGAUAAUACCAAUUUCUUGGCCUUUCUAUCACGGACAAUCUGUAUGCCAAGAAUCUGCCUUGCUGGUCCUAAGUCUUUCAUAGCAAAAGACUUACUCAACUCUUGCUUCAACUUCUGAAUCCUGCAAGUAUUAUGACCAACAAGAAGCAUGUCAUCAACAUAAAGCAACACAAUAAUAAAGUCACCAUCAGAGAACUUUUGCACAAAAACACAAUGGUUUGAAGAAGUCUUCUUGAAGCCUUGCUGACUCAUAAAAGAACCAAACUUCUUGUGCCACUGCUUGGGAGCUUGUUUCAAACCAUACAAGCUCUUCUUUAAUUUGCAAACAUAAUUCUCAUUACCCUUGACUUCAAAAUCUUCCGGUUUAUACAUAUAAAUUUCUUCAUCUAAGUCACCAUGGAGGAAAGUAGUUUUAACAUCCAUUUGCUCAACCUCUAAAUCUAGACUUGCAGCCAAGCCUAGAACUACACGAAUAGAUGAAAUCUUCAUAACUGGAGAGAAUAUCUCAUCAAAAUCAACUCACCUUUUCUGAUUAAAUCCCUUGACAACUAAUCUAGCUUUGUACCGUGGAACUGGAUUACCAUUUUCAUGUUUUACUCGAAAAACCACCUGUUUUUCAAAGCUUUUUUGUCUUUAGGUAACUUAACCAAAUCAAAGGUAUGAUUAUCAUGCAAGGAUUUAAUCUCAUCUUCCAUAGCAUCAAACCACCCUUCUUUUUCUUCACUUUCCAUGGCCUCAUCAAGACUCUCAGGUUAUCCCCCGUCAGUCAAGAGUACAUACUCAUUGGGAGAAUAACGAGAUGAAGGAAUUCUCUCUCUACUAGAUCAUUUGAGAGAACUCUCUGGAGCAUCUAUAAUUGGUUGUUGGACAACCACAUGAUCUUGCACUGGAGCAUCAACAACAUCAUGCCGGUCAUUCUGAACAUAAUGACCAUCUUCAUUAUCAACUUGAUUUUCAUCUAUAUGAAGAUUUUCUUCCGGUGCAAUAGUCAAAGGAACUGGAUCAACAUCAACUAAGCUCUCACUACUCUGAAAAUCAGCCUUGUUAGUUUUGUCAAAAUCUUCAAUUGUUUGGUCUUCAAAUAACACAACAUCACGGCUUCUAACAAGUUUCUUCUCAACAUGAUCAUAGAAACGAUAGCCAAAUUCAUCUUGACCAUAACCAAUGAAGAUACACUGCCUAGUUUUAACAUCCAACUUUGACCUUUCAUCCUUAGGAACAUGUACAAAGGCUUUACACCCAAACGCUCUAAGAUGAUCAUAAGAAACAUUCUUACCAGUCCAAACUCUGUCAGGGACAUCACCAUCUAAAGCAACAGUAGGAGAUAAAUUGAUAACAUAAGCAGCAGUAUUAAGUGCUUCUGCCCAAAAGGAAUCUAACAGCUUAGCAUUUGAAAGCAUACAUCUAACCCUCUCAACUAGAGUUCUGUUCAUCUUCUCUGCUAAACCAUUUAACUGAGGAGUCUUUGGAGGAGUUUUCUGAUUUCUAAUACCAUGCUCUCUGCAAUAUCUAUCAAAAGGACCAAUAUACUCACCACCAUUAUCUGAGCGGAUGCAUUUCAAUGUCUUCCCUGUUUGUUUUUCAAUCAAUGCCUGAAAACUCUUGAACACAUCAAGUACUUGAUCCUUGGACUUCAAAGGAAAUACCCAGAGUUUGCAAGAAUGAUCAUCAAUAAAAGUCACAAAGUAAAGUGCACCACCAUGAGAUCUUACCUUAAAAGGACCACAAAAAUCAGACUGUACCAACUCCAGCAAAUCAAGCUUUCUUGAAGGCGGAUGACUCUGAAAAGAAACUCUUUUCUGUUUACCGGCUAAGCAAUGAACACAUUUCUUCAACUUUGCUUGUUUCACUCCAGAAAGCAAAUUUUUCUUAGCCAAACUAUCAAUCCCCUUCUCGCUCAUAUGACUCAGCCUUCUAUGCCAUAACUCUGAUGAAGUAUCAUUCUCCACAAAAUUUACUGAGUCUCUGGACAUGGAGCCCUUAAAUACAUACAAGUUAGACAACUUGCCACCACAGGCCACAACCAUCAAACCUCUAGUAAGCUUUCACUGGCCAACACCAAGUGUAUUAACAUAACCCUCAUCAUCAAGAUAUCCCACAGAAAUCAAAUUCAAGCGAACAUUUGGAGCAUGCUUGAUAUUAUUGAGAACUAGUUUGGAACCAUUGUUACAUUCAAAACAAACUGUCCCAAUGCCAAUAACUUCAACUUCAUGAUUAUUGCCCAUUUUCAACGUUCCAAAAUUACCUGGAGUAUAAGAAGAAAAUAAUUCCUUCUUUGGCGUGACAUGAGAAGUAGCACCAGAAUCCACAAACCAGCUAGACUCAUCACAAACAAGAUUAAUGGAAUUUGCAUCACAAGAAACAAGAAGAUCAUCAUUAGCAACAACAGCAACACGAUUUUCAUUAUCGCCUUCUCUCUUUUGUUAUCUCAUAUCUCUCUUGUGCUUGUAACAAUAUUUCAUGAUAUGCCCAUUCUUGUGGCAAUAGUCACAUGUAAUAUUCUUGUAUUUAGACUUUGACUUGCUUCUACUUUUACCUCUAUCAUUCUGACCUCUGGACUUGUUUCUCCCCCUAUCUUCAGUAACCAAAACAUCGGAGUGUGAAGCUGAAGAAAAUGAGGCUUGAGAUCUUCUUCUCAAUUCUUCAUUCAAGACACCACUCUUAGUAUAUUCCAUGGUUACAACACCACUGGGAGCAGAAUUAGUCAAAGAAACUCGAAGAGUUUCCCAAAAGUCUGGCAGAGUAUUAAAAAGCCAAAGUCCUUGUAUCUCAUCAUCAAACUUUACACCUAUUUCGGACAGCUGGUCAAGAACACCCUAAAAAUCAUUAAUAUGAUCAGAAAUAGGAGUGCCCUCUUUAUACCUGAUAUUCAUUAAUUCUUUCAAUAGAAACAACUUGUUGUUGUCAGUCUUCGAAGCAUAAAGUGUCUCGAGCUUGUCCCACAAACUUUUGGCAUGUGUCUCAUUCACAAUAUGAUUUCUAACAUUAUCUUCAACCCAUUGUCUAAUAUAGCCACAAAUCUGCAGAUGCACAAAUUCCCAUUCUUCAUCAUUCAAAGACUGAGGCUUAUUAGAUACAAACACAGGUAAAUACAUCUUCUUGACAAAUAGAAGAUCUUUCAUCUUGUCUUUCCAAAUAUGAUAGUUACUACCAUUUAAACACACCAUUUUGCUCAUAGUUGCCUCCAUCAUUCAAAACGACAAUCAACAAUAACCAAUGCUCUGAUACCACUUUGUUGGGAAAGACAAGGCACUAACAAAGAAUGUCUGACAGGAUAACUGCGGAAGAAUACCCAAGUUUGUACUUUCCUUUCUCGAUUUGAACCAAGAGAAGACAAACAACCACGAGCAAUAUGAUAGUAAGGCAGCAAGUAAUUCAACCAAACAAAUAUAACAAGGCAAUAAUAAACCAAUCACAAAGGAUACCAAGAUUUACGUGGAAACCACUUCGAUGUGAAGAGUAAAAAACCACGGGACCAAAAGCUCCACUAUAAUCACCAAGAGUUACAAUAUUUUUCUCCAAAAUUGGCCACAAAACAAGUGCCAAACAACGAGCAACAACAAAAUAAGAUUGCACCAAAUCUAGAGAAUUAAAGGAGCAAAAUCACCAAUUUCGCAGCUACUGUUCACGAUAGCAAAACUGAAGCUGAAGGCCUCCAAAUCCAACUCUGUCAGUUCCUAAUCAAAGAUUGAGAUGAAGAUAAUAUCUUUUCCAAAAAUCAGCUCAAUUGGACAAGAAACUAAGUGGGAAUCGCAAUUUGAAGUUGGCUGUUAGGGUUGAAUUUUGACGGCGAAAACUGCUCUCUUUCUCUCAUUUUGGCUGCUGAAAAAACUCUCUGUGUAUAUGAAAAGAAGACCUAAAUAGGCUUAUAUUUGCCUCAUAAGAAUGGUUCUAUGGACAAAAAUGGGUUGGUCCAAAUUGGGCUUUUAUUUAUUCACAUAGGAAGGGAAAAAGACCCAUAACCCAACAUAAAUUCUACAUGUAGAGACAUUGAAUAGGAGAAAAUUUCUCGCAAUUGAUGAAUAAAUUUUUUUUACAAAUUUUUGAAAAUAUACAUAUAUAAACAAUGAAGCAAUUACAUAUCUUUUCUAAAGACUCUGGUGAUGAACAACUACAUUUAAAAUGUAGAAUUAAUAACAAAAUUCAUAAAAACUUAGAAUCAAAUAUUUUUCGUUUUAAGAUUACAAAAAACGAUUCAGUAUUUUUAUGAUAAAAUGUUCUUAGAGAUUAUCGUAGGUUGUACCUUCUCGAAAAUAUUUAUAUUAGUACAUGUUCAAAGGUAUAUUAUUGACGUAGUUAACCACCACACGAAGCACGGGCAAUUUAUCUACUAUACAUAUAAAAGAGAACCCUAGGUCGCCUACGUGGUGCCACUACAAACCAACAUUCUAUUUAAAUUUAUUAUACUUCCAAAGCUAGCCUUCCUUUUUCAUGAAAAGUUAUGACUUUUAUGAAAAUUUGUAAAUUUUUUCCAUGAAGAGUUGUGACUUAUGAAGAGUUGCAACUUUUAUGAAAUGUUGUGACCUUUCUGGAGGCUUGUAACUUUUCAAAAAGGUUGUGACUUUUCCGAUAAGAAACAAUAACCACAUUUUUACACUAAUCUUUGUUGUCUAUAAAUAGAGGACUAUACUUUGCAUUCCGUGGGCUCAACUUUUUUCAUUCUGUUUCAUUCUAUUGUUGCAUAUUCUAGUAAAUUUUUUACAAUCAUUAGUUUAUGCUUAUAUUAUUAUUUGUUGUUUUUUGAAUAUAUGUUUUAAACUUUGAUUUUUAUAUUUAUGUAAAGUUAUUGUUAUAAGUAUUUGUUAGUUUGAUUAAAUAACAAAUGUUAAUAGAAUAUUCAAGAAAGUUUUCGCGUCUGAAAUUAUUGAAGGUACCUUAAAAAAGCCCUUACAAUUCUGAAAUUUCUUCAUCAACAACGUUAUUCCUUCACAAACAAGGAUGUGAUUUUGUGUUAUUCAGAAAAUCAUCUUAGAGUUAAUAACUAUGCAUGUGCAUAUUUUUUUGUUUUAAUGUAGAUAUUAUGAGUACUUUAAUGAUUGAAAGUUUAUUGAAGUGUUAGUCAAUUAGUGUGGAGGUAUCUUAUUUCAAAAUGUAGGAAUUUUUUUGGUGAAAAUGAUUUGUUAUCAUCAUUGGAUAUAUCACAGUUUACUCCCUUUAUUGUAUGUUUUUUCUCGCUCUUUUGUUGUCUUCUUACAAUUGAAUUGAUUUUUUUUUGACAUGUAUAUAAUGCCACUAUGACAAAGAUCUUCGUCCUUUUAAUGUUUAUUUUCAUUUCUCAUUCAAUCUUCUAAAUAUUUUUGACGUAAGAUGUGACUAUUUUAGUCAAUCUUAAUUUGAAAAAUAUGAAACAAAACCUACAAAUAAAAGUAAGAUUUUAAGUUAAAGAAGAUAAGUCUGUUAACAUAGAUUGGUUGUCCUUCAUUCCUCAAGUCAUUGUUAAGCGUUCAAAUUAUCUAAGUUAGACUCAUUUUUAAAUUUUAAUGUUUGAGAAUGUUUCUUUAACAUGAGUCCAGAAUAAAACAUUUAUCUCUAUAUACUUUCAUAAUGAAACAAUCAUACAUAAAUAUUCCUAAAAAGUCAUAAAGUUACAUUGAUGAAAAAUUCAGAAUGGCCUUCUGUAGUUUAAUGAAGAAUGAAUUUCUAUAAGGGUUAACAAAUAUUAUUUUGUUGUUGUUUCAAAUAUAUUUUUCUCCUUCUAUAAUUUUUUUUAGAAUAACAAUGUAAUAAUAACGAAAAGUGAGAAACAUUUGACCUCAAAUAAGUAGAUUAUGUCUAAAAAUAUUAUUUCUGUUGUUGUGGUGUAUACUUUUUAAAGGACGUAACUUAUUUAUAACUAUAUUCAUUAUCAAAAACUUUCACAAAAUGUUUUUACACAAGGAAUUAUAAUAACCAUAAAACUAUUAGAUUCUAUAUUUCAUGUAUAAAAAAAAAAGAUUUUUAAUGGCUACAUAAAAACAUGACUCAAUUUUAACAGGAAAAUUAUAUCAUAAAACAUAUAAUAUGAUAAAUUAUGUAAAAGAUAAAAAUAAUUAAAUAUCAAGAUAUUUCUAAUCAUUAAUUGUAUAUUAAAAAAUUUUGAGAUAUGAGAUAACGUCAAAUCAUGUAAUUUGUCUAUAAAUUUUCUAAAAACCUACAAAAAUUUACUUUUUUCUUAUAAAAGUCUAUCAUUGGUAAAGUUGUUCACAAGUUUAGAAAGAUUUCUUAUGCCCGCAGGUGGACUACCUAGUUGAAGAAUAAAGGAAAAAAUUACAAAGAAUGUGACUGAUAAAUUUAAACAAAGACAAAUUGAGAAAAGAGAAUAGUAAAAAAUAAAAAGGAUAAAGCUUCACAUUGAACCAAUGAAGCCUUUUCAUUUGUUUUGGAAUCUGGGCCCAAAACGUCUCAGCCUUUUUAAAGUAAAAAAAAAAGGUGAAAAAAAUAUGCACAGAGUGAGAAUCAAACUCGGCCAUUCCAGGCAGAACUUGAUCCCCUUAUUCAUUACGUGAUCCUUCUCUUUAAUAGUUAGGGGUUCAUUUUUAUUAAUAUACUCAUAAAACCAGAAAUUGACCUAACAUAUACAGUUUAAUUUUUCGACGUAGGGGGUUCUAGUGAACCCCCUAGAUUGCACAUGUAUCCGCCCCUGGGUGUGGGAUAUGGGAAGAGAAAUAAUUGACAUGGAUUCAACUCAUAACUUUGUAAAACAGAGUAGACUAUUCAGACCUCAAGAAAUCUGUGUUGUUGUACAAGGAAAUUGUUGGUGUUAUCAGCUAAAGAAAAAACAUACAAUAAAAGAAGAUAAGAGAGACAUAAUAUUAAGUUGAAAGAAGAAAUGAUUAAAUAGAACGAACUCCUAACCUUUUGUAGUACAUAAUUCAGUAACUAGAAAAAGAACUAGGCACUAAGUCUACCAACAACUCAACAUGCCUAAAGACUAGGAAACUCAAAACUAAAAAACUAAAACUGAAAUAUUUAUAUUUAGAAAAUAGAAAACACAUCAUCAGCCAUGUCAUCAUGCCAAUUCAACAUCAAUUAAUAACUCAAGAGGUAGAUUUCAACACUUCUCCUUGCAUCAAGAGUUGCAAAUUCCAUGUCCCUUUCCGAAGAACUCAAAUUUGCUUGCCGGAAGAGUUUUUGUAAAAAUAUCAGUCACCUGCUCUUUCGUUCUGCAAUAUACCAGAUUCGCUAAACCAUCCCUUGCACUUCUCUUCGAAAGUAUAGCGUCACAUUGAAAUGUAUGGUCUUUCUAUGAAAAAAUUGGAUUGUGAGAAAUAGCAGAGGCAACUUUGGUGCCCAUACAUAUUUUAGUGCUUUCCUUCAUUUACAACCCAAGAUCGCAUAAGAUUUUCUGUAUCCAUAAAGCUUGAUUGCCUGGUGCUGUAGCAGCAAUGAAUUCUGCUGCUGCAAUUGAUUGCGCAACAAUCUCUUAUUUUUUGGAACAACAAGAAAGGUAUCCAACACCAAAAAUAAAACCGUACCCUGAAGUACUUUUCAUAUCAUAGUCCAUUGUGCCUGUGAUAUAUCUGAGUACUCUUUUUGCAUCUUGUAUAUGCAAUUCACUAGGAGAAUUCAAGAAUCGGGAUAGAACACUUAGAUCAUACAAUAUAUGUGGUCUUGUUGCUGUAAGAUACAUCAAACAUCCUAUCAGCUUUUUGCAUAUCCAGCUGGUUCAAAUACGACUACAUUUCAUCUUUGAUAGAUACUUGAAAGUGAUCUAGUUCCUCGAACGGGAGGAUGAUCAACUCGUUCCUCAAAAUUGUGCAAUUCAUUAGCUUUUCUUUCUUGUUAUUCUCCAUCCUAAUCCGGUUGCUUUUGUUAUAAAAAAUUCACAUCUCUGUAUACCAAAAAUUUUCCAUUUUCAGAUUGGAAAAUUCUGUAAGCUUUUUACUGCAAAGCUAUAGCCAAUGAAAUUCUAGGUUCUACCUUCUUGUCAAGUUUAUCCAUUUUGAGCUAAGGUAUGUGAGAGAAGCAUAAGCAACCAAAAAUAUUGAGAUUUUUUUGUAAAGGUUUGUAAGCAUUCCAUGCUUCAAAUGGUGUUUGACCAGUCAUUGCCUUUGUAUGCAGCAAAUUCAACAAAAAUACAGUAGUAUUAGCUGCCUCUGCCCAUAACUCCUUGGAAAGCUCUUUCUCAUGCAACAUACACCUUGAUAUCUCCUUGACGGUCGUAGUCUUCCUUAUGCUUACUCCAUUUUUCUGAGGAGUAUAUGGAGUAGCGAGUUGAUGCUCUAUUCCAGCAACUUUACAAAAGUUUUUGAACUGAUCUGAAGUGAACUAAGUCCCAUUAUCUGAUCUGAGCACUUGUAGUUUGCAGUCGCUUUGAUUUUUACCAAGGCUUUUAAUUUUCAAAAAAACAUCAGCAACCUCCGAUUUUAAUCUUAAGAAGUAUAUCUAAAUCCUUGUUAUAUCAUCAAUAGAAAUCAUGUAGUACCUGUUUCCUUUUAAUGAUAGAGUUCUUUGGGGGCCUCCAAGAUAUAUAUGAAUCAGCUGCAAUUUUCAGUCGCUCUCCAAGUUUAUUUUGGGAAUGGAGAUCUCGUCUGCAUACCAAGUUGACAUGCCUCGCAACUUGGGAGUUUUUGUUCAAGUGAAGGUAAGCCUUUUACCAACCCUUUUUUUUGCAUAUACAAAAGCGCCUUGUGGUGAAAGUGACCCAACCGUUUGUGCCAUGUUUCUCCAACACCGGACUUAGUUGGAUUCCAUUUGUUCUUCAUCCAUUAGAUUUAAAGAAAAACUUUUUCCCUGCAUUUUAAUAUAAAUGGUUCCUCACCACUUGGAUAAAUCAUCAGACACACCUUAUCUUCAAAAAGUAAUUUGAACCCAUUUUCAAGUAACCGUCCAACAUUUAAUAAAUUUUUAUCAAGUUCAGAAUUAAAUAGAACUUCAGAAACAAAUUUUGUGCCUAUAUAAUCUCAAUAGCUACAGUCCACUUUCCUUUUGUAGGGAGGUAUUCUCCAUUUCCAAUCCUGACUCUUGAUGUUGUUGUUUUAUCAAGCCUUUCGAAAAGCUUUUCAUCACUAGUCAUGUGGUUUGUACAACCACUAUCAAUAAGACAACUGUCACUUGAAAUACUAGAUGCAAAACUUGAUGCAACAAAUUUGAGCUUCUCCUUGUUCUUGUUGUUGUCGUCCUUUCUCUUUGUAGAUGAUUUCAUCAUGUCCAAGUUUUUGAUAUUUUGGCAUCUCAUAUAUGGCUUUCUCUAGCAUUUGAAGUGAGGAUGAUUCUUCCUUUCAGAAUAUUGACAUGGGGGAAUUUUUCUCCUCUGUUGCUGCCUGAAUUGUAGCUACUUCCAGUACAAACGGAAACCAGACUAUUUUCUGCAUAAUUAUUCUCCCCUUUGAUUUGCUUGUUUUUUUUCAAGGAUAGUUUUGCCGAUUGUCCUGAAGUGCACCUUCUACCGAUCCUUCCUAUCUUAUUAACCUUCUUUGCUUGUGUACCUGCAAUGCAUUUGGUAAUCCUGCCAAAGUUAUCCUUGACAGAUCCUUGGUAUUUUCUAUGGAAGCAAUGGUUGGUUCAAACUUCUAAGGUAAUGUAACAAGAAGCGUGUCAAUAACUCUGCUAUCAGGAAACUUAUUUCCCAACAUUCUUACCUUUAUCACAAUGCUAAGAAGCCUGUCUAAGUAUUCUUUGACAUUUUCAGAAUCUUUCUUUCUUUGUACCUCAAAUUCUCUAAUGAUAUUCAUAUCUUUCAUACUUUUGAUUCGCUCAUCUCUUUGGUAUUCUUCUUUUAAAAAAAUCCCAGAUUGCUUUUGUUGAUUCCAACAGCAUGAUUUCGGGAAAAGUUGUAGGUGAUAGUGCAGCAUAUAAGCAAGAUUUCGCGUUGGAUUUUCUUGUCUUGCUUUACUUGUUAAGCUUGACCUGAGUCAUUGCUCAAUUACUUGGUAAUGAUGACAUCUUGUUUACAACUAAUGAUCUUGGUUUAUUCCACGAUACUAAGAAAUCUCGCUCAAACAACUUUGACUCAAAAGAUAUGAUAGAGACAUUCUAGAAAAUUGAGAUAAAUAUAUUUUUAUUUGGAUAGAUCACAAGGAUUAAUGAGGUUAUCUUAUAAAUCCUAUAUGAAUGAAGUGUUAGAGUGAUUGAAAGGUUAUAUGAAUAAACUGUUAUAGUGAUUUUGAAUGAAAAAAUGUUAAUCCAGCUCUGUUCCGAUUUAGAAAGGAGAUAAAUUUGAUAGCAACAUGUGUGUUAAUUUGAUUAACCAUGUUUAAUAUUAUUUUGGUUUAAUAAAGUAGCUAAAUUCUAAUUUAAUUAAGGAAGUCAUUUUAGAUAAUCCCAUUAAUCCACUUCAAUGGAAAGUGAGAAUUAACUGUUCCAUCUCUGUCAUUCUGAAAUAUUAGCAAAGAAGAAGAAAGUAAUAUUGUUUUGAUUAAAGUCAAGAACACUACAGUCGAUUCUGGUAUGUUUUUUCUUGACUGAAUUUCUUAUAUGUAAGAUUGUGAAAAUUAUGUAGGUCUACCCUCUAAAUAAUUGAUAGAAUUUCAUUACAGAUUUCUUAUAUACACAAUAUGUAAUUGAUGAAAUUUCUUACAUAACAUCGAUAAUUAUGUAAAAACAUAGAAGUAAACUUGUUCUAACUUUAAUCUUAUUUUCUACAAUUUAUUUCCACAACAAAAUUAAAUAGCCAAUUCAACAACAAAGUUUCAAUUUCAGUGACAAUAAAUAAAAUCCAACUAAUAACACGAAUAAAAAAAGAUUGAAUUUAAAGAGAGAGAUAAAAGACUUACAGUAGUGAAAUCGAGCAUAGAAGAGCAAGAGACGAUAGGAGAUGAGUUGACCGCUGAUUUUAGCUAAAGCUUUCUGGGUUGCCCGAUUGAUGAUGCUACCCUUUACUACUGUUUUUGUUGUUUUUCUUCUUACUGGUGUUCCUCUGAAUUCGUCUGCAAUUUCUCUGGCAGCGCCCAACUUUUCAUGCGGCCAACAACGUCACCUUUGCCUACCCAAUUUUGUUUUGCCUUCUCACUACAAAAGGAACCCCAAUUACCAACAAAAAGAUUCAUUGGUAAAUUGAUCAAAUU
RNAcentral lists this long non-coding RNA (17047 nucleotides) under Solanum lycopersicum (tomato). RNAcentral describes it as "long non-coding RNA (SLYC_LNC000541)". The record is from RNAcentral. Lineage: Eukaryota; Viridiplantae; Streptophyta; Magnoliopsida; Solanales; Solanaceae.